CCUACGGGAGGCAGCAGUGAGGAAUAUUGGUCAAUGGACGAGAGCCUGAACCAGCCAAGUAGCGUGAAGGAUGACUGCCCUAGGGGUUGUAAACUUCUUUUAUAGGGGAAUAAAAUGGUCCACGUGUGCCAUUUUGUAUGUACCAUAUGAAUAAGGAUCGGCUAACUCCGUGCCAGCAGCCGCGGUAAUACGGAGGAUCAGAGGUUUAUCGGGAUUUAUUGGGUUAAAGGGGGCGUAGGUGGUUUGGUAAGUCAGUUGUGAAAGGUUGCGGCUCAACGGUGAAAUUGCAAUUGAAACUGGCAGUGUGGAGUACAGUUGAGGUAGGCGGAAUGCGUGGUGUAGCGGUGAAAUGCUUAGAUAUCACGAAGAACUCCGAUUGCGAAGGCAGCUCACUAAACUGCCACUGACACUGAUGCUCGAAAGUGUGGGUAUCAAACAGGAUUAGAUACCCGUGUAGUC
RNAcentral lists this ribosomal RNA (459 nucleotides) under uncultured bacterium. RNAcentral describes it as "partial 16S ribosomal RNA". It matches the Rfam family "Bacterial small subunit ribosomal RNA", at positions 338 to 795 of the family's 1533-position model. The record is from RNAcentral.